Molecule: ribosomal RNA, 331 nt
Filed under: uncultured eukaryote
Lineage: Eukaryota
Description: partial 18S ribosomal RNA
Rfam family: Eukaryotic small subunit ribosomal RNA
Source: RNAcentral
CCCUUAGACGUUCUGGGCCGCACGCGCGCUACACUGACGAAGUCAGCGAGCAUGUCCUACGCCGACAGGUGCGGGGAAUCUUGUCAAACUUCGUCGUGAUGGGGAUUGAUUAUUGAAAUUCUUGAUCAUCAACGAGGAAUUCCUAGUAAGCGCAAGUCAGCAGCUUGCGUUGAUUACGUCCCAGCCCUUUGUACACACCGCCCGUCGCUACUACCGAUUGAAUGGUUUAGUGAGAUCUUCGGAUUGGCGCCACUGCGGCUCAGCAAUGGGCUCGGUGGAUGCCGAAAAGUUGAUCAAACUUGAUCAUUUAGAGGAAGUAAAAGUCGUAACA